Molecule: transfer RNA, 95 nt
Filed under: Caldinitratiruptor microaerophilus
Lineage: Bacteria; Bacillati; Bacillota; Clostridia; Eubacteriales; Symbiobacteriaceae
Description: tRNA-Cys
Rfam family: Selenocysteine transfer RNA
Source: RNAcentral
GGCCGCGAUGGAACCGGUGUUCCCCCGGGGCUGCAAACCCUGGCGUCCGGACCACAGCGUCCGGAGAUGGGUUCGACUCCCAUCCGCGGCCUCCA